UGUCAACUGAUUAAACACUUUAAACAUUCAUAACUCAAUCCCUUUUUAGCCAUGCCACAGCUUUUUGCUAGAGUGACCCAUAAACAUAUCCCAGUAACUUGGUGUAAUCAUGGCAAAAUGACAGAAAACACACUGGACCCCCACAUAAUGUUAAGUAUCCCAAGGACUCUUCCAGAGCAUCUCUGGGAUAGUGCUUAAGAUUGUGUAUUCAUUAAAUGUUUUGCCCACGGAUAUGCAUCUGUACUUACUGAUAUUACUCCUGCAUGGUUGUAAUGUGUUUGUAUAUGAUAGGUCUGCCUGACCAUGUAAAGCACUGUGGUUGUAAUGUAUUUAUGAUAGGGCUGCCUGACCAUGUAAAGUACUGUGGUUGUAAUGUAUUUAUGACAGGUCUGCCUGACCAUGUAAAGUACUGUGGUUGUAAUGUAUUUAUGAUAGGGCUGCCUGACCAUGUAAAGUACUGUGGUUGUAAUGUAUUUAUGACAGGUCUGCCUGACAAUGUAAAGUACUGUGGUUGUAAUGUAUUUAUGAUAGGGCUGCCUGACCAUGUAAAGUACUGUGGUUGUAAUGUGUUUGUAUAUGAUAGGUCUGCCUGACCAUGUAAAGUACUGUGGUUGUAAUGUGUUUGUAUAUGGUAGGUCUGCUUGACCAUGUAAAGUACUGUGGUUGUAAUGUGUUUGUAUAUGGUAGGUCUGCCUGACCAUGUAUAGUAAUGUGGUAGUAAUGUGUUUGUAUAUGGUAGGUCUGCCUGACCAUGUAUAGUAAUGUGGUAGUAAUGUGUUUGUAUAUGGUAGGUCUGCCUGACCAUGUAUAGUAAUGUGGUAGUAAUGUGGUUGUAUAUGGUAGGUCUGCCUGACCAUGUAUAGUAAUGUGGUAGUAAUGUGUUUGUAUAUGGUAGGUCUGCCUGACCAUGUAAAGUACUGUGGUUGUAAUGUAUGUAUGAUAGGGCUGCCUGACCAUGUAAAGUACUGUGGUUGUAAUGUAUGUAUGAUAGGGCUGCCUGACCAUGUAAAGUACUGUGGUUGUAAUGUGUUUGUAUAUGGUAGGUCUGCCUGACCAUGUAAAGUACUGUGGUUGUAAUGUAUGUAUGAUAGGGCUGCCUGACCAUGUAAAGUACUGUGGUUGUAAUGUAUGUAUGAUAGGGCUGCCUGACCAUGUAAAGUACUGUGGUUGUAAUGUAUUUAUGAUAGGGCUGCCUGACCAUGUAAAGUACCGUGGUUAUAAUGUGUUUGUAUAUGAUAGGGCUGCCUGACCAUGUAAAGUAGCGUGGUUGUAAUGUGUUUGUAUAUGAUAGGGCUGCCUGACCAUGUAAAGUACUGUGGUUGUAAUGUAUGUAUGAUAGGGCUGCCUGACCAUGUAAAGUAGCGUGGUUGUAAUGUGUUUGUAUAUGAUAGGGCUGCCUGACCAUGUAAAGUACUGUGGUU
Molecule: long non-coding RNA, 1421 nt
Organism: Oncorhynchus keta (chum salmon)
Lineage: Eukaryota; Metazoa; Chordata; Actinopteri; Salmoniformes; Salmonidae
Exons: 3
Source: RefSeq, a predicted model, not a curated record